This 222-nucleotide ribosomal RNA is filed under the name uncultured bacterium. RNAcentral's name for it is "partial 16S ribosomal RNA". It matches the Rfam family "Bacterial small subunit ribosomal RNA", at positions 111 to 334 of the family's 1533-position model. The record is from RNAcentral.
UAAUAUAUCGGAACGUGCCCUGGAGUGGGGGAUAACGUAGCGAAAGUUACGCUAAUACCGCAUACGAUCUACGGAUGAAAGUGGGGGAUUCGCAAGGACCUCAUGCUCGUGGAGCGGCCGAUAUCUGAUUAGCUAGUUGGUAGGGUAAAAGCCUACCAAGGCAUCGAUCAGUAGCUGGUUUGAGAGAACGACCAGCCACACUGGGACUGAGACACGGCCCAG